Molecule: long non-coding RNA, 2642 nt
Organism: Synchiropus splendidus (mandarinfish)
Lineage: Eukaryota; Metazoa; Chordata; Actinopteri; Syngnathiformes; Callionymidae
Exons: 3
Source: RefSeq, a predicted model, not a curated record
GCACUCUCACUUUCAUGAGCCUGGAAAACUCUCCGUGCUCCAUCAGGUGCUGGAGCUUCAAAAGCUGUGUUUCAUUUGAAGGCGCUUCCCUGUGCAGCAUUGUUCUGUGCAUGUGCUGCAGGAUGCAAACUUUACAUGACAGAUUUAAAGAACCUCCACAGCAGACCUGCUGCUGCUGAGUGAGCAGUGGGGAGGGAGGAGAGGACGCAUCACAACCAGAGGGGCUUCAUCAGAGCGCCGGCUGUCACAUGUGAUCGGUUGUUGUGAUCGGCAGUGACCGGCAUUCUGAUCACGACCGGUGACCGAUCGAUCCCUAGUUUUGAGGUCUAUCACUCUGUCUGACUUGUUACAUGUAUUUUUGUGUCAGUUUCAGAGUUAGUCCAGUGUUUUGGACCACCGUUCCACAUCACUGCACAACUCUUAUAGCGCCCUCCAUGGUUCAGCACUGGGACUCUGACCACUUGGUGGUUGACCUUGUUCCCUCACAUCAACAGAUUGAAUGAAGAUCUGGACAAGUGAAGCAGUAGAGGAGCUGCAGACUUGUAUGGAGGCCACAGACUGGGAGGAGCUCAGAGCUGCUGAACAGAUCCUCUGCGGAAUUCAGCACAACAUUCCUCGACAUACUUUUAACAGUUACAGAUGGUUUAUCUUGACUGUCGACCACACAUGCGCCAACAUCGUUGUCAUGGCUGCGGUGCUUCCUGAGGUGAGCUGGAGGACAUUCUGUGUGCUGCAGAACCAAAGGUCGCAGCCACUUCCUGUUCAUUCACAGCUCUGUUGUGUGCCACCCUCUAGUGGGGAUUUCUUCAAGCCCUGUCUUUACAACACAAAUGGUUUUUUUUCUCUUGAAACAAACACGGAGUCCUGUUCUCCAAUGAUGCUUGGUCAUUUCAAGGUCCUCCAGGUCACCGGGAGCGACAGUGUGACUUGGAGCUGCAGGUUGGAAUCCAGGAUUCAGGUGAUUUUCUUCAUCCUCAGUUGCCAACAAGACCUCAGCAAUAUGUGUAGCAGCUCAUAGACCCUCUGGGCACGUCUGGACUGGGUCUUGGAAGAAUCCAUGUGGGAGUCUAGUCCAUCUAGAGCUUAUUUAUUUCUCACCUGGCAGCAAGUCUUGGCGACUGGGACCCGCUGGAGAGCUGUAGCAGGGUAAAUGCUUCCCAUCUUUUCUUCUCUCAUGCCGUCCUUUGGCUGCGCUCAGAACAACAUUCUGUUUGGUUCAGAGUCCUGGUUCAGGUGAGCCAUGUGUUUUGGGUGGUUAGGUUUAAGGGGAGAGGCUGGGGAAAGGGUUAUGGACAUGAGAGGUCCUAAAAAUACCAGUGUGUGUGUGUGAGCGUCACAAAGACAGAGACGAAGGCAGUGUUUCAGAAGCAUGCUGCAUUUAUUGAAGCCAAUUCAAAGUGUACACUUGACAGAGGUCAAAGGUCAUCAGCUAUUUACAAGCAUCAUGGCGGCUCAGACCGGAGCCUCCUCCUCCUGCGCGUCUGACUCUGGAGACAGCUGAGACAUCUCCAGCUCCUCCACAGCUGCUGGGAGCCGCUCCCCCCUCCUGCCCCUCCACACCUUCACCCCCACCACACACAGCAUCAGCACCAGCACCGCAGCACUGAGCAGCACGGACCUCAGCAGGAGGUGAUCCACCUCUGGCUCUCUGAGCUUCACCAGGGUCUCAGAGCUGAAGACACAGAGGAGGCCUCUCCUAACCACACACCAGAAGUGUCCACUGUCCUGCAGAGAGACGCCAGUGAUCAGCAGGCUGCUGUUAGAGAGAUGCAUGUUGUCUGGUCUCUGGUACUUGUAGACACGUGAGACUCGUCCUUCGGUUCUGUUGGACCUCAUGAACCAGCGGACGCCGUCGCUCUGAUUCCAGUCCCCACAGUGGAGAGUAAGGUCCUCCCCCUCAGUGAAGAGCUGCACAGCAGGAGGCUCAGGCUCAGGGCACACGUACAGGCGAUAGUGCUCAGGAGCAGAAACGCCGAGGUCACAGGUGUAACUACCCGAGUGCUCCAACCUCAGAGAUGGAAAGAUCAGAGUGGAGUUGAGACUCGCUCUCUCAGACCACAGUGAAUUCAAUAUCCACCAGCGGUGUGUUUGCUCUCCGCUGCCAUCAGAACAGUUCAGCUCCAGCCUCUCUCCAACCGAGCGCAGGAGAAACUCUGGCAGGACCCGAACAUUGAAGUGACUGUGAAGGUCACAGCUGAGCUGCUGCUUGUCCAGACAGUAGUAGGAGACACGUAGAGAACGUUUCUCAACUGUGAGCAGGAGAGAGGGUUUGUUCUUCACCAGCUGGAGUCCGAACUCGGAGGGUGUACCGUCCUCUAUUAAAGAUAACUCAUAUGUUCUGGAGUCCUCAUAGGCCCACUGAACGCUCUGCUUUGGUCCCACCCCGUCACAAGGCAGCUCCACGGUCUGUCCAUCUCUCAGGUACAAAUACAGCUCCGUCAUCUUCUGGUCGUCACAGACGAGGAGAGUGGAGUUCCUGCUGAGCAGCAGCAUGUCCUGACUCCAGCACUGCACCUGGUAUUGACCCGAGUGGGGAAGGAUGGGAAGGCGGGGUGGCGAAUAUGGGGAGCUAGAAUAGUUCCACAGGAGCUCCUUCCCCUCACCGCUCCAUCUGGAGACGGAGCAGGAGUGUGCACGUUUGU